Molecule: long non-coding RNA, 801 nt
Organism: Humulus lupulus (European hop)
Lineage: Eukaryota; Viridiplantae; Streptophyta; Magnoliopsida; Rosales; Cannabaceae
Exons: 3
Source: RefSeq, a predicted model, not a curated record
UUCACAUGGAAAAAGUAAACUAUUUCUUACUUUUGAACUUGGGAGUGGUACAAAAAUACACACAUAUGUUUAGACAGUUCAGAACAUAUAUAUUUCACACAAAAAUAGAUAAUAUGAUUUUGUGAUUUCUUAUAUUCAUGAUUUUAGAUUACUACUCCAGACCUCUUUGAUUUGAUUAAGUCUUUCUCAUUAAUAUUGCAUUCCAAAUCCUUAAACUUGUUCUUGGAUAGUGAAUUACAAGAGGUAUAUAUACACAUAAAGAGGCUGAUAAUAGUGAAUCAUUCUCUUCUGCUGUUGCUGCUUCUUAUGUACUGCUUUUUAUGCUACUUUUUUUUUCUUUUUUUUUUACAAGUAUAUUGGUAGCUACUUAUUAUUAGAAGCAAAAUUUGUCUUUGUAUCCAUUAAUAUGUAAAACAAAAGGGUAUUUCUCUUUUCUCCAGCACUUAGUGUAAGUACAAGUAUUUUUAGUCAUGAUAUAUUCUUUCUUCACUUUAAUACAGUGCAUUUGUCACAAAUUGAAGCAGGGCAGGUGCAAAAACAGUACAUUGCAAGAGUUAUUGGGGCAUUUCCCGAGCAUGAGAAAGUUGUAGAUGAAAAUAUAAAUUAUAAUGCCCGGGAAGGAAAGAGCACAGCAGAGGUGCUCAACUCCUCUGGUGGCACUUCAGUAAAAGGGAAGGUUGCUUGUACCAAGUUCACUAGAAUUAGUACCAUAAUGUGUUCCUCUAUAUAUGCAGAUUUAUAUAAUUAAAGUCGUGUGUAUUGAAGUUGUUAACAUUAUAUAUAUACAUUUUUUGGAGUAAA